This 466-nucleotide ribosomal RNA is filed under the name uncultured Sphingobacteriales bacterium. Its description in RNAcentral is "bacterial SSU rRNA". It matches the Rfam family "Bacterial small subunit ribosomal RNA", at positions 918 to 1380 of the family's 1533-position model. The record is from RNAcentral. Lineage: Bacteria; Pseudomonadati; Bacteroidota; Sphingobacteriia; Sphingobacteriales.
CGGGCCGCACAAGCGGAGGAACAUGUGGUUUAAUUCGAUGAUACGCGAGGAACCUUACCGUGGCUUAAAUGUAGAGUGCUAUUUUUUAGGGAUAGAAAUUCCCUUCGGGGCUCUCUGCAAGGUGCUGCAUGGUUGUCGUCAGCUCGUGCCGUGAGGUGUCGGGUUAAGUCCCAUAACGAGCGCAACCCUUAUCGUUAGUUGCCAUCUGGUAAUGCAGGGGACUCUAGCGAAACUGCCACCGUAAGGUGAGAGGAAGGUGGGGAUGACGUCAAAUCAGCACGGCCCUUAUGUCCAGGGCUACACACGUGUUACAAUGGUCGGUACAGAGGGCAGCUACCUGGUGACAGGAUGCUAAUCUCGAAAACCGGUCUCAGUUCGGAUCGAAGUCUGCAACUCGACUUCGUGAAGCUGGAUUCGCUAGUAAUCGCGCAUCAGCUAUGGCGCGGUGAAUACGUUCCCGGGCCUU